RNAcentral lists this ribosomal RNA (1349 nucleotides) under uncultured bacterium. Its description in RNAcentral is "bacterial SSU rRNA". It matches the Rfam family "Bacterial small subunit ribosomal RNA", at positions 28 to 1381 of the family's 1533-position model. The record is from RNAcentral.
GACGAACGCUGGCGGCGUGCUUAACACAUGCAAGUCGAACGAUGAAGCCUAGCUUGCUAGGUGGAUUAGUGGCGAACGGGUGAGUAAUACGUGAGUAACCUACCUUUAACUCUGGGAUAAGCCCGGGAAACUGGGUCUAAUACCGGAUACGACCAAUCUCCGCAUGGGGUGUUGGUGGAAAGCGUUAUGUAGUGGUUAUAGAUGGGCUCACGGCCUAUCAGCUUGUUGGUGAGGUAACGGCUCACCAAGGCGACGACGGGUAGCCGGCCUGAGAGGGUGACCGGCCACACUGGGACUGAGACACGGCCCAGACUCCUACGGGAGGCAGCAGUGGGGAAUAUUGCACAAUGGGCGCAAGCCUGAUGCAGCGACGCCGCGUGAGGGAUGACGGCCUUCGGGUUGUAAACCUCUGUUAGCAGGGAAGAAGAGAGAUUGACGGUACCUGCAGAGAAAGCGCCGGCUAACUACGUGCCAGCAGCCGCGGUAAUACGUAGGGCGCGAGCGUUGUCCGGAAUUAUUGGGCGUAAAGAGCUUGUAGGCGGUUUGUCGCGUCUGCUGUGAAAGGCCGGGGCUUAACUCCGUGUAUUGCAGUGGGUACGGGCAGACUAGAGUGCAGUAGGGGAGACUGGAAUUCCUGGUGUAGCGGUGGAAUGCGCAGAUAUCAGGAGGAACACCGAUGGCGAAGGCAGGUCUCUGGGGCUGUAACUGACGCUGAGAAGCGAAAGCAUGGGGAGCGAACAGGAUUAGAUACCCUGGUAGUCCAUGCCGUAAACGUUGGGCACCAGGUGUGGGGAACAUUCCACGUUUUCCGCGCCGUAGCUAACGCAUUAAGUGCCCCGCCUGGGGAGUACGGCCGCAAGGCUAAAACUCAAAGAAAUUGACGGGGGCCCGCACAAGCGGCGGAGCAUGCGGAUUAAUUCGAUGCAACGCGAAGAACCUUACCAAGGCUUGACAUAUACUGGACCGCAUCAGAGAUGGUGUUUCCCUUCGGGGCUGGUAUACAGGUGGUGCAUGGUUGUCGUCAGCUCGUGUCGUGAGAUGUUGGGUUAAGUCCCGCAACGAGCGCAACCCUCGUUCUAUGUUGCCAGCACGUAAUGGUGGGGACUCAUAGGAGACUGCCGGGGUCAACUCGGAGGAAGGUGGGGAUGACGUCAAAUCAUCAUGCCCCUUAUGUCUUGGGCUUCACGCAUGCUACAAUGGCCGGUACAGAGGGUUGCGAUACUGUGAGGUGGAGCUAAUCCCUAAAAGCCGGUCUCAGUUCGGAUUGGGGUCUGCAACUCGACCCCAUGAAGUCGGAGUCGCUAGUAAUCGCAGAUCAGCAACGCUGCGGUGAAUACGUUCCCGGGCCU